UCUCCCUAUAACAUAUUGAGUUAUCUCUAGAAGAAAGGCAUUGCUAAAUCUCCAAGAAUUCUAUGAUCUUGAUGCAAGUUCAUUGUAAGCUCCUGAGUUUGGACUUCCCGGGAGGUUUAAAGGACCCUGCUGCAUCACGAAUCUCUUUUGGCGAGUCGGGCUGUUUGGGAAUGCAGCCUUAAGUGGGUGGUAAAUUCCAUCCAAGGCUAAAUGCUGGUGAGAGACCGAUAGUGCACAAGUACCGCGAGGGAAAGAUGAAAAAGACUUUGAAAAGAGAGUUAAAAAGUGCUUGAAAUUGCUAGGAGGGAAGCGAAUGGAUGCCUUGUGCGCCCCUUGGUUGUGUGUGGAACGGCGAGAGCUGGUCUGCCAAGAAAUGCAAGGGGCUGUCCAGCAUGGGAGGACGCGGCGGGAUAACGGCUUGUGAGCCUCUGGCUUGCCAAUGCCACUGCCGCCUCUAAAAAUGGCAGAGUGCUCUGGUGCCCCACCAGAUGCUGGAACUUGGGCGUUCCAUCCGACCUGUCUUGAAACACGGACCAAGGAGUCUAACAUGUAUGCGAGUCUGUGGGUGUUAAACCCAUACAAGCGAAAGGAAACUAAUUCAUGGGAUCCCCUUCUGGGGUGCACCACGGACCGAUCUUGAUCUUUUGAGAAGGGUUUGAGUGUUAGCAUACCUGCUGGGACCCGAAAGAUGGUGAACUAUGCCUGAGCAGGGCGAAGCCAGAGGAAACUCUGGUGGAGGCUCGUAGCGAUACUGACGUGCAAAUCGUUCGUCAGACUUGGGUAUAGGGGCGAAAGACUAAUCAAACCAUCUAGUAGCUGGUACCCUCCAAAGUUUCCCUCAGGAUAGCUAGAGCUCUUGCUGAGUUUUAUCGGGUAAAGCGAAUGAUUAGAGGCAUCGGGGGUGAAACACCCUCGACCUAUUCUCAAACUUUAAAUAGGUAAAGCAGCCGGGGUUGCUCUGUUGAGCCCCGGCCGUGAAUGCAAGCUCCAAGUGGGCCAUUUUUGGUUAAGAAAAUCGACUAGGCUGUUUUCAGUACAUUCGUCCGAGGUGUAGGAUCAUUUGCCCGAUAACCCGGUACCGACCACGACCAAAACGACUUCCCUAAGCAAUUCCUAUGUCACCUCCUAUGGUUUGGGUGUUCGGGGGGUACCUGUAUCAUGGAAGACGAGGAUUAGUAAUGCAAUCUCUACUAGCUCUAUCUCUCAUUUUGUGAAAGUACGAAGCUAAGUUUCAAAACUGAACUGAGAUUUGCACGACUGAUGCUCGCGAGCCAAUGUACUCACGUACAUGCCUGGGCCGCACAUCAGAAGUGACUUCCAAAGAUUAGAACUAAGGAACAUGCUCAACCUGAUCACUAUCCGUUGACUCAUGGAUCUCGCCAUCUGGACCAGUCGCUGUCAUCCCGUCUUUUUUCUAAGCAGAUGAUUAGAAGCUGGAACAGUCGAGAGUACAAGCACUACCUGGGCAGAGUUAGUGAGAGCCGCUUGUGUCGUUGUGGUGUUUAGUUCCAGCGCUCUGGCCGAGAGAGAUUCCUACAGGCCAAGGGUAAAAAACUGCAGAAAAACGAAUCAUUUGUACCCGUUUUUGCAUGGCCAGGAAUGCAGUAGUGAGAUUCCUCGCGACCUUAGUGGUGGGUGUAAGCUCGUUUUGAGCUAUCCCCAAACAAACACUUCGUUGGCACUGCUCAUUCUUGCGGUGUGCAACGAAGUGGCUGUUGAUCCUGGAGUGGGCGAGAAUUGUGUGUGGUUGUGCUAGCGCACAGCCUUGCAAUGGCCCAAGCUUGCUCUGCUUGUGGAUGCGCUCCUGGAGAAUGCGGCGGCGGCGGAUGCAAGCGAGAAACCCUAACAUUAGGGUUUUUCCCGUUGCUUCAUACCUUUCGGUGUGAGAAAAUCCAGCACCCACAGCCAUGAAGUCGAAUAGCUAUAGCUUGUAAUUAGGUUUGCCUAUCUGUAUAGCAUGUUUCUUUGCGCGAGAUUCUGUGAGGAAUCCAAGGUUUUGUUUUUUACCAUACCACGUCUACUCAUGUAUCCCAUUAGUUUAUUCAUGGGGAAAACCAGAGUUUUCUGUAAGUAAGGUUUCCUUAAAAAUUAUUUUUAAGGAAGACCUUCCUGUGAUUAAGGCGUGGGAUAUGUCUCACAAUGAGAGAACAGCAACUUGUGUUGUUUUUUUAAAAUUUACCAAUCAAAACACAGUUGUAGUCAAAGGUGUGCUUACAUAUUUUAGUUCAACGCAUAACCAAGGACUGCAUGGUAAGUUUGGGGGAACUAAUUCUUUUGUUUUUCACAGUCCAAAAAGGCAUAAAUAUCAAAUCUAUUAUGUUUCGAUAUGAUGCUAAAGUGAUGGAUAGUCUUGUCUAGAAGACAGAGUUCCUGGUGCUCAGCUUGAGUUUGCUGAGUCGUCGAGCUGUGGUGGCCUAUUGGCCGGUUCUCUCCAGAUGUCAAAGAGAAUUUCCAAGACUGCUUGCACCGGUGUCAGGGGGCUGGUGAGAAUGAUACGAUCCAGACCACUAAGGAUGAGUCGUCUCAAUGCAUAGCGAUGGAAUCCUUUUUCCACGAAGCAUUCAACGAGAUUAUCAAUCUCAAGGACGAUACCACCGGUGGUAUUAAUCAGAUAGAAAAGUGCAAAGACUUGCCCCAGGAUUACUUUGGAUGAGUUUGCAACGGGCCGGUUUGAAUCUCGAUGAAUGUACAGCGAGACUUUGAAUGAAAGUGAUCGGUGCUUGUCAUAUUUUGUGGUUAAGAAAGUACCAUCAACCCGUAUGAUCUGGAUCUGAAGGCUCAAGAAGUGAGCGGACAGAUUCACAAGCGAGCCAUCCGUGCCUAUGAAGCAGAACUGGCGAUGCAGGAUGAACCGAAAGCCGGGCUACGGUGCCAAAGUGCGCGCUAACCCAGAUCCCACAAAGGGUGUUGAUUGAUUAAGACAGCAGGACGGUGGUCAUGGAAGUCGAAAUCCACUAAGGAGUGUGUAACAACUCACCUGCCGAAUCAACUAGCCCCGAAAAUGGAUGGCGCUUAAGCGCGUGGCCUAUGCCCGGCCAUCGCGGCGAUUGCGAGGCCCCGAUGAUUAGGAGGGCGUGGGGGUUGUGGUACAGCUCUGGGCACGAGCCUAAGUGAAAUGGCCCCUAGUGCAGAUCUUGGUGGUAGUAGCAAGUAUUCAAAUGAGAACUUUGAAGACUGAAGUGGAGAAAGGUUCCAUGUGAAUAGCAAUUGGACAUGGGUUAGUCAAUCCUAAGAGAUGGGGAAAUCCUGUGUGAAGGGCGCAAUGCGCUCCGCCCAUCGAAAGGGAAGCGGGUUAAUAUUCCCAGGCAGUGGGCGGUAACGCCGACGAAUCUAGAGACACUGGCGGGGGCCCCGGGAAGAGUUAUCUUUUCUUUUUAACAGCCUGCCGACCCUAAAAUCAGUUCAACCAGAGAUAGGGUCUCACGGCCGGCAGAGCACCGCACGUCUUGCGGUGUCUGGUGCGCCCCUGGCGGUCCUUGAAAAUCUGGAGGAGCGAGUGUUGAGCUUGCCCAGUCAUACUCAUAACCGCAUCAGGUCUCCAAGGUGAGCAGCCUCUAGUCGAUGGAACAAUGUAGGUAAGGGAAGUCGGCAAAAUGGAUCCAUAACUUCGGGAAAAGGAUUGGCUCUGAGGGUUGGGCUUAGGGGUCUGCGGCUUGACCCUGUAGGCUGCUGGUGGUCUGCCCGAGCUGCUUGCGCGGCGAGGGCGGGCCCCGGCGUGCCGACCUGGUGAGGGACGCAGAACGCCCCUCCCCGUGGGGGGCAUUCCCUAGGCAUCGAACAACCGACUUAGAACUGGAACAGACAAGGGGAAUCCGACUGUUUAAUUAAAACAAAGCAUUGCGAUGGUCUCUGCGGAUGUUGACGCAAUGUGAUUUCUGCCUAGUGCUCUGAAUGUCAAAGUGAAGAAAUUCAACCAAGCGCGGGUAAACGGCGGGAGUAACUAUGACUCUCUUAAGGUAGCCAAAUGCCUCGUCAUCUAAUUAGUGAUGCGCAUGAAUGGAUUAAUGAGAUUCCCACUAUCCCUAUCUACUAUCUAGCGAAACCACAUCCAAGGGAACGGGCUUGGA
This 4067-nucleotide non-coding RNA is filed under the name Selaginella moellendorffii. Its description in RNAcentral is "Eukaryotic large subunit ribosomal RNA". It matches the Rfam family "Eukaryotic large subunit ribosomal RNA", at positions 124 to 2389 of the family's 3401-position model. The record is from Rfam by way of RNAcentral. Lineage: Eukaryota; Viridiplantae; Streptophyta; Lycopodiopsida; Selaginellales; Selaginellaceae.